CGUUGACCCGUAAUCCGGGUUGCGGACAGUGUCUGGUGGGUAGUUUGACUGGGGCGGUCUCCUCCUAAAGAGUAACGGAGGAGCACGAAGGUUGGCUAAUCCUGGUCGGACAUCAGGAGGUUAGUGCAAUGGCAUAAGCCAGCUUGACUGCGAGCGUGACGGCGCGAGCAGGUGCGAAAGCAGGUCAUAGUGAUCCGGUGGUUCUGAAUGGAAGGGCCAUCGCUCAACGGAUAAAAGGUACUCCGGGGAUAACAGGCUGAUACCGCCCAAGAGUUCAUAUCGACGGCGGUGUUUGGCACCUCGAUGUCGGCUCAUCACAUCCUGGGGCUGAAGUAGGUCCCAAGGGUAUGGCUGUUCGCCAUUUAAAGUGGUACGCGAGCUGGGUUUAGAACGUCGUGAGACAGUUCGGUCCCUAUCUGCC
Molecule: ribosomal RNA, 421 nt
Filed under: Escherichia coli
Lineage: Bacteria; Pseudomonadati; Pseudomonadota; Gammaproteobacteria; Enterobacterales; Enterobacteriaceae
Description: partial 23S ribosomal RNA
Rfam family: Bacterial large subunit ribosomal RNA
Source: RNAcentral